GGCAUGGUGGCUUAAUGGUUAGCACGUUUGCACCUCUGGGGUUGGGGGUUCGAAUCCCACCUCCACCC
Pangasius djambal is the source of this 68-nucleotide non-coding RNA. The record is from the annotation of a GenBank genome assembly. Lineage: Eukaryota; Metazoa; Chordata; Actinopteri; Siluriformes; Pangasiidae.